RNAcentral lists this ribosomal RNA (420 nucleotides) under uncultured eukaryote. Its description in RNAcentral is "SSU rRNA". It matches the Rfam family "Eukaryotic small subunit ribosomal RNA", at positions 567 to 990 of the family's 1831-position model. The record is from RNAcentral.
CCAGCAGCUGCGGUAAUUCCAGCUCUAAUAGCGUAUAUUAAAGUUGUUGCAGUUAAAAAGCUCGUAGUUGGAUUUCUGGCAGGAGCGACCGGUCUCACACUCUGUGUGAGAACUCGUGUUGUCUCUGGCCAUCCUUGGGGAGAUCCUGUUUGGCAUUAAGUUGUCGGGCAGGGGAUACCCAUCGUUUACUGUGAAAAAAUUAGAGUGUUCAAAGCAGGCUAUUGCUUGAAUAUAUUAGCAUGGAAUAAUGGAAUAGGACUUUGGUGCUAUUUCGUUGGUUAUGGGACCGAGGUAAUGAUUAAUAGGGACAGUUGGGGCCGUUCAUAUUUCGUUGUCAGAGGUGAAAUUCUUGGAUUUACGAACGAUGAACUUAUGCGAAAGCAUUCGGCAAGGAUGUUUUCAUUGAUCAAGAACGAAAGU